AACGCACGAGACCUGCGGACCUGCGGAAGGAUCAUUAAUGAGUUGCAAAACUCCCUAAACCAUUGUGAACCUACCUGUACCGUUCCUUCGGCGGGCGGCGUCAAGCCCUAACCCGUCUCCCUUUACGGGGGAUGGACCCGCCGGAGGCUCCUAAACUCUUAACUUUUGUUGGCAUCUCUGAGUAAAUCAAAAUAAGUCAAAACUUUUAACAACGGAUCUCU
RNAcentral lists this unclassified non-coding RNA (221 nucleotides) under soil metagenome. RNAcentral's name for it is "partial contains 5.8S ribosomal RNA, internal transcribed spacer 2, and large subunit ribosomal RNA". The record is from RNAcentral.